UUAAAGCCACCUAGUGGAUGGCUUGGCUACAAUCACGAUGAAGGGCGUGGCAAGCUGCGAUAAGCCUAGGGUAGCUGCAGGUCGAGCUUUGAACCUAGGAUUCCCGAAUGGUGCAUAGCAAUAUGCAUGUAUACGCGGGGAACUGAAAUAUCUUAGUACCCGCAGGAGAAGAAAUCGAAUGAGAUAUGGUUAGUAACGCGAGUGAAAGCCAUACAGAGCAAACCGAAUCCCUCCUGGCAACAGGUUGGGAGAUGUGGUGUAGCGUUUCAUUUAGCAUAUGAGCCGAAGGUGUUGGAAAGCACCGCCAUAGAGAGUGACAGCCUCGUAGGUUAAAUAUGCUAGAGAUUGCUACAAUAGAGUAGUACUGCCUUAAUACGCAGUACGAAGAUGGGGGCACUAUACUCCAACUCUAAAUAUUGAUUGUAGACCGAUAGCGAACAAGUAGCGUGAGCGAAAGCUGAAAAGUACGCACGCGUGUGCGAGCGAAAAGAUCUGAAAUUAGGUGGUUAAACGCAGGUAAGGCGGGAAAGGAAUGAAGUAUGCAGAAGCGGGAUUUCGAGAGGAAUUAGCGAUGCAUAUGGAACACCGUCUUAUCAUUCUUCUUGAAGCAAGAGCCAAGGAGUGUAUAGUAGUGGCAAGCCGAAAGGCGCAGCGAAAGCGAUGGCGAGCAGCAUGCGAGGCGCAUGGUAUGAAAAUGCCAAAGUCACUAUUAUACGACCCGAAGCCUCUACGAUCUACUCGUGGCUAGGGCGAAGGUAGACUAACGUCUGCUGGAGGCCCGCAACCAAUUAUGGCAUGUCCUACUGGGUGAGCUACGGGUAGCGGCGAUAUACCACUCGAGCGAGGCAAUAGCGGGUCCCUUCUGAAGUAUCUUUAGGAUAGCCUCAGGGGAGUUUGUAUAUGCGGUAGAGCUACCGAUUGGCAUGGGCGGGGUAGAAAUACCCCACAUGCUUGUCAAACUCCGAAUGCAUAUACUGCGUAGAUCCUGAGAGUCGGCGCAUUUGGGUAAGCUAGAUGUGCGAGACUACAAAGACAGUGACUAGGGUUAAGGUCCCCAAAUCCUAAUUAAGUGUAUCAAAGGGGGAAAAUUUCUUAGACAGCUGGGAGGUAGGCUCAGAAGCAGCCAUCCUUCAAAAAACGCGUAAUAGCGUACCAGUCGAGGGAUUUUUCUCCAAAAAUAUACGGGGCUAAAUUAGGUACCGAUACCUUAGAGUGCGUUAAGCACUGGUAAGAAGGCGUGUGGUGCAUCAAGAAGUUGGUUCGAAAGAACCAAUGGAAUGCAUCGCAGUGAAUAUCUUGGUAUUAGUAACAGCAUACAUGGGUGCGAAUCCCAUGCACCGAAAGCACACGGGUUUCUUCGCAACGCUUGUCAGCGGAGAGUUAGGCGAUCCUAAGAUGUAGGCUAAUUACCUAACAUCAAAAGGGAAGCUGGUUAAUAUUCCAGCCCGUAAUAUGUAAGCGCGGCAACGCAAGGUUGAUUUCUGACACUUGGGGAUAGUACCGAAAGAAAGUGCAAAGGGCUAUGGAGUCUCGUUAUGAGGAGAAGUAGCUAAAUGAACUGUUGGUAUGAGUUCCUGAGUCCGUGAAAAGGGAAUCAACAAUGAUCAUAUUACUCCGUACCUAGAACCAGUACAGGUGCUGCAGGCUGAAAAGGCCAAGGUGUGAUGGAAUAAUCAUCGUUAGGGAAUUCGGCAAGUUGGUGGUGUAAGUUCUCGAGAAACCAUGUCUGCGUAUGGUAUGCGCAGAUAGCAUUGACCAGGGGACAGCGACUGUUUAUCUAAAACACAACUCACCGCGAAGCUGGAAAGCUUUGUACAGUGGGUGACGCCUGCUCACCGCCAGUAAGUGAAAGCUCGUUUCAACGGGAAUAAGCUCUGGCAAAGAGCGGGGGUAACUCUGACCCUCUUGAGGUAGCGUAAUACCUCGUCACUUAAUUGGUGACUUGCAUGAAGGGCGUAACGUCUGUCCCAAUGUCCCAACGAUGAAUCCAGUGAACUUACUGCGCGGUGAAUAUGCCGCGAUCCUUCAGCGGGAAACGAAGUCUCUAUGAAGCUUUACUACAGCCUGUAGUUGUUGUGUGGUGAAUUAUGCAUAGCGUAAUUGGGAGCGUCGAAGUGCGUGCUGCGGCGCGCAUGGAGCGACAAUGUAACACCAAUCUUAAUUUACCACAUAGCUUACCUGAAAAGGGACAGCUGCAGGUGGGUAGUUAGACUGGACGGUUACUUUCGAUAAGGAAACGAAAGUGACCAACGCUCAGCUUAGGUAGGUUGGGAACCUAUCGGUAAGCAUAAAGGCAAAUGCUGGGCUGACUGUACGCCGAAAAGCGAAGCGUGCAGAUACGAAAGUAGGGCUUAAAGAACUUUGGUAGCUCUUUUAGUGGGGCUCCAAGCUGUAAGACAAGUUACUCUAGAGGUAAUCGAUUCGUCGCGGGUGAGAGUCCACAUCGACCUCGCGGUUUGAUACAUCGAUUUGGUCCCGGGUUAUCCUGGUGGUGCAUAAGCCGCCAAGGGUUGGACUGUCCGCCCAUUAAAAACCCACGCGAGAUGCGUUCAGUACGUCGCGAGACAGUACGGUAGGAUCUGCUGAAGGUGUUAGUGCCAGAGGGUAAGUUCCCCCUAAUACGACAGGAACAGGGGAACGGCGCCUCUAGUGUACCGGUUGUGUUCGCAUUGCCGGGUAGCCACGCGCCAUAAGGAUAAGUCCUGAAAGCAUCUAAGGACGAAGCCUUACCCGAAACGAGGCACUGGGUCGGCCGCAAUAGACGGCUUUGAUAGGAUGGGUGUAUAAGUGGAAAGCUUUUGCGAUCCACGAGCAUACCAUUACUAAAGACCAACUGGAUUGGU
RNAcentral lists this ribosomal RNA (2843 nucleotides) under hot springs metagenome. Its description in RNAcentral is "bacterial LSU rRNA". It matches the Rfam family "Archaeal large subunit ribosomal RNA". The record is from RNAcentral.